Molecule: ribosomal RNA, 1372 nt
Filed under: uncultured bacterium
Lineage: Bacteria
Description: bacterial SSU rRNA
Rfam family: Bacterial small subunit ribosomal RNA
Source: RNAcentral
GAUGAACGCUGGCGGCGUGCCUAAUACAUGCAAGUCGAGCGAACGGACGAGAAGCUUGCUUCUCUGAUGUUAGCGGCGGACGGGUGAGUAACACGUGGAUAACCUACCUAUAAGACUGGGAUAACUUCGGGAAACCGGAGCUAAUACCGGAUAAUAUUUUGAACCGCAUGGUUCAAAAGUGAAAGACGGUCUUGCUGUCACUUAUAGAUGGAUCCGCGCUGCAUUAGCUAGUUGGUAAGGUAACGGCUUACCAAGGCAACGAUGCAUAGCCGACCUGAGAGGGUGAUCGGCCACACUGGAACUGAGACACGGUCCAGACUCCUACGGGAGGCAGCAGUAGGGAAUCUUCCGCAAUGGGCGAAAGCCUGACGGAGCAACGCCGCGUGAGUGAUGAAGGUCUUCGGAUCGUAAAACUCUGUUAUUAGGGAAGAACAUAUGUGUAAGUAACUGUGCACAUCUUGACGGUACCUAAUCAGAAAGCCACGGCUAACUACGUGCCAGCAGCCGCGGUAAUACGUAGGUGGCAAGCGUUAUCCGGAAUUAUUGGGCGUAAAGCGCGCGUAGGCGGUUUUUUAAGUCUGAUGUGAAAGCCCACGGCUCAACCGUGGAGGGUCAUUGGAAACUGGAAAACUUGAGUGCAGAAGAGGAAAGUGGAAUUCCAUGUGUAGCGGUGAAAUGCGCAGAGAUAUGGAGGAACACCAGUGGCGAAGGCGACUUUCUGGUCUGUAACUGACGCUGAUGUGCGAAAGCGUGGGGAUCAAACAGGAUUAGAUACCCUGGUAGUCCACGCCGUAAACGAUGAGUGCUAAGUGUUAGGGGGUUUCCGCCCCUUAGUGCUGCAGCUAACGCAUUAAGCACUCCGCCUGGGGAGUACGACCGCAAGGUUGAAACUCAAAGGCAUUGACGGGGACCCGCACAAGCGGUGGAGCAUGUGGUUUAAUUCGAAGCAACGCGAAGAACCUUACCAAAUCUUGACAUCCUUUGACAACUCUAGAGAUAGAGCCUUCCCCUUCGGGGGGCAAAGUGACAGGUGGUGCAUGGUUGUCGUCAGCUCGUGUCGUGAGAUGUUGGGUUAAGUCCCGCAACGAGCGCAACCCUUAAGCUUAGUUGCCAUCAUUAAGUUGGGCACUCUAAGUUGACUGCCGGUGACAAACCGGAGGAAGGUGGGGAUGACGUCAAAUCAUCAUGCCCCUUAUGAUUUGGGCUACACACGUGCUACAAUGGACAAUACAAAGGGCAGCGAAACCGCGAGGUCAAGCAAAUCCCAUAAAGUUGUUCUCAGUUCGGAUUGUAGUCUGCAACUCGACUACAUGAAGCUGGAAUCGCUAGUAAUCGUAGAUCAGCAUGCUACGGUGAAUACGUUCCCGGGUCU